RNAcentral lists this ribosomal RNA (298 nucleotides) under uncultured bacterium. RNAcentral's name for it is "partial 16S ribosomal RNA". It matches the Rfam family "Bacterial small subunit ribosomal RNA", at positions 28 to 334 of the family's 1533-position model. The record is from RNAcentral.
GAUGAACGCUGGCGGCGUGCCUAAUACAUGCAAGUCGAACGCAGUACUUCGGUACUGAGUGGCGAACGGGUGAGUAACACGUAGGUAACCUGCCCAUACGACUGGGAUAACUGCUGGAAACGGUAGCUAAGACCGGAUAGGUAAUAGGAAGGCAUCUUUCUAUUAUUAAAGGUGAGAAACACGUAUGGAUGGACCUGCGGCGCAUUAGCUAGUUGGUGGGGUAACGGCCUACCAAGGCGAUGAUGCGUAGCCGACCUGAGAGGGUGACCGGCCACACUGGGACUGAGACACGGCCCAG